This 610-nucleotide long non-coding RNA is filed under the name Rattus norvegicus (Norway rat). RNAcentral describes it as "long non-coding RNA NONRATT022489". The record is from RNAcentral. Lineage: Eukaryota; Metazoa; Chordata; Mammalia; Rodentia; Muridae.
AUUUUGUAAAUGCAUUAGGUGUGUUUCCCUGGGACCAUUAUGGGGUUCUAAGAAGACUUAACCAAAGCUGAAGAUAUGUCUGGUCACUUUUCCCUCUACUCAAAAAGUAUUGGCCAAGAAAGUUCACCUGUUUCCCUCUGAUGCUCAGCCACGAACAUCCCCUGAAAACUCUUCUCAGAGAUGAUUGUUCCCAGUACCACUGCAGUCUCUCUUCCAACUGACUGAAAAGGGAGCUCACUGUGAGGGGAGUUCCACCUGAGCAGUUCCCCUCCAGCAGUGUUCCUUCUUCCCAAUCAAGUGGCCCCACAAGAUGUCAUUUCUGAAGCUGCAGCUACACUAGGGCAGCAGCUCUUCUUUCUCCAGCUAGACUUUGUUGUAUAGCUGCUGUGAAAAGCCACAGCCCUGAAGUCAAACCACAGUCAAAAACAGCAGCCAGCAUGUGGGCAGCAGUUUGAGAACAAUCUCAGAGUUCUUUGUCAAACCUGUCCCUCUGAUUUGGAUUUGUCUUCACUAUAUGGUUCCCUACCAUUCCUGUUCCCUCUGUAUACCCACAUACAGACUUUACUCUGAAAUCAAUUUCAUAACAGUUAUUAAAUGUUACUUGAAUGUG